GAUAAUCGAUUAUAGCUUGUCCAUAAUCGAUUAUUCCAGUAAAAAUUACAAGGUUUAAUAUUUUCCUACUACAUCCAAGAUCUACAAGUUACUUUUUAAAUAAUUCUAAUGUUCUCUUCAAAUAAUACUUCUUGCAGCAUCAUCAAAACAAUUCUUCAGGUUUUACCAAUACUCCUUAUUGGUAACAAUCUCCCCCUUUUUGAUGAUGAUCAAAAAUUCACUUUUAAAAGCAACUCUGGUUUUCCUACAACACAUACAAGCUAAUAGACAACCACAAAGUUAGCAGUACCUGUACCAAUACCAAUUUUUAAAUUGUAAAAUAUUUCUCCCCUUAAUUCUCCCCUUAUAUUUCUUCUCCCCCUUUUUUGAUCAUAAGAAAAAAGAAUAAUGUAAAAAUCUCCCCCUUAAUAUGAGCUCCCCCUCAAUUAUAUAAUAUAUGCAUAAAAUUGACAUAAAGG
This 458-nucleotide long non-coding RNA is filed under the name Vigna radiata. RNAcentral's name for it is "long non-coding RNA (VRAD_LNC010356)". The record is from RNAcentral. Lineage: Eukaryota; Viridiplantae; Streptophyta; Magnoliopsida; Fabales; Fabaceae.